CUUGUCUUUGCUUAUUGUCUCCUGGCUCCUGGUUUAGUCACAAGGGGCUUCUUGACAAAGUUUGUAAAGCGUUUGAAGGAAAUAAACUUUCUUAGAGAAGAUCUCAUUUUCAGUACCCAUUGUGAAGAGGGUACAGGUUCAGGCGUCGACACGUAUUUUGGACUGUGUACUUAUCCUGGUCAGGAGCUGAGGCGCCGUAUUGUUUUCAAGGUAACACUCAAAAUUCCCCCAGCCAAGUUCAUUGCAAAAGAUAUCUAGUUUGGGGUUAUCAAACAAACAAAAAAAAAAAGAUGUUCAUUCAUCACCAUGUCUGCUUUGCUUUUUUUAACAGGUUUAUCCGAGGGAUAUCUAUGCAUUCGGACUCAUAGCCUGGACAGGGAACGACGUGUUGAAUAGAAAGGUAUUAACAAAAUUAUAAUCCAUUAUCAUCUCACCAAAGAUAGUGUUGGUAAAGAAAGAAAGAUCACACCCACACACAUCCUUGUAUAUAUUUGAUAUGCCAUGGGAAUGUAGGCUGAGAUUGCUAGCGGAAUCUAAAGGAGAUCGACUCAAUGACACUGGACUGUUCCCAGCUACUCACAGUUCAAGUGGUAACCGGGUAAGGGGAACAACAAUGUGAAUGAUUAAAAGUGAACGAAUGAGUAUUUUUAUUUUGUCUGAGCAUGUGAUCAUGUUUCUUUGUCAGGGUGGUAAGAGCAAGUGCAAGCAUGAAACUCUCCACGGAGAAACAAGUUUUCGAUUUCCUAGGGUUUCCUUGGCUCGAGCCACACGAGAGGAAUCUUUAAGUUAACUCACUAAGCCUCUUUGGUAGUUGUUUAAGUUAUCUUCUAGUUCUGUAAGUAAUCACUGUUUUUGUAAUUGCAUAUCUCUGGGCAAAGUCAUGUAAUAGUAUUUCUUGUAAUGUUCUAGGUUUUAAUUUAAUAUUCUUGGACGUCUUUAUGUAUUCGAGGUGUUGUGACCAUAUUAAUUUACCAUUUUUUCUAAACAAACUAAUCACGCGUGUGAUAGAUGUGGUUAGCAAGUGGAAAACAUCGUCCCACAUCGUUAAACCAGAGAACAUAUGGCUUGUUUAUAUAUCUGUAGAAAGCAUAAGAGGUCACGACCUUACUUGAACAGGAUCUGUUCUAUAGGAAGUACCUCUGUAUCCUUGAUUUCUAAGGAGACAGUCCCUGAACCCUGGUUGAUGACUCAUUACCGUGUAAUCUGAGCGUGAUUAACGGCUAGGUUUGUCUUCGUACUCUCCGUGCUGUAGAGGAUCGUUACCUAGCUUGUGCUUGACCACGGUUAGGGUGGUUGCAUGGUUGUCUGACAGGUCCUUUUUU
Long non-coding RNA from Raphanus sativus (radish), 1322 nucleotides. RefSeq lists it as uncharacterized. The record is from RefSeq and is a predicted model, not a curated record. The transcript has 2 exons. Lineage: Eukaryota; Viridiplantae; Streptophyta; Magnoliopsida; Brassicales; Brassicaceae.